AUGGCGGAGGCGGGCCGCGGCAAACGGGACUCCAAGACGCUGGAUCUGUUCCCCUUGGUCUCAGGAUGUGAAGCCCCGAAUGAAGGCAACCCCAUAGGCCUGGCCUGCUUGGCACGAGGACCCUCCGUAGAGUCGGUGCAGGUCAGCUUGAGCCCCGGGGCGCAGGACCAGAGGCAGAAGACCCCCCUGAUCGUGCUGGGGACGCACGGGCACACUCGGCUGUCCGUCCUGAUGGCCAGCUGGAAGCCGGGCCCACACCACUGCAGAGCCACCGUCAGGGGGGGGCGCCCCCCCAGCAACGAGCUGCGGAAGGACAUCCAGUGGCCAGCGUCCUGGGAAGUGAGGACCUCCCGGUCGACUCGCAGGCCGUCCCUACCAGAGGACUCCACCAGAGCCCCCAGCACUGCCAGGGUCCCAGGCUGCGGGAACCACACCCACCCUCCCAGCCUCUCCUGCACGCUAAGCCAGCCCAGCACGCCUUCCCAGGUGGCGCCCACAGCACCAGGCGGGCACGCUGCCACAGCGCCCUGCUGCCUCGCCGUCCGCGCCCUGACCGUGCCCCAGGUGGCCUCCUGGCUCCUGUGUGAGGUGUCUGGCUUCUCGCCCCCGGACAUCCUCCUCACCUGGCGCCAGGGCCGGACGGAGGUGGACCCUGCUGGGUUUGCCACUGCACGCCCCACAGCCCAGCCUGGGAGGAGCACGUUCCAGACCUGGAGCGUCCUGCGCGUCCUCGCCGCCCAGGACCCUGGCCCGGCCACCUACACGUGCGUGGCCAGGCACGACGCCUCCCGGAAGCUGCUCAACUCCAGCUGGAGCCUGGACACUGGUCUGGCCAUGACCCUCCCACCCCCCCAGAGCCACGACGAGAGCGGCGGGGACUCCACGGACCUGGAGGAUGCCAGCAGACUGUGGCCCACGUUCGCAGCCCUCUUCCUCCUCACUCUGCUCUACAGCGGCUUUGUCACCUUCAUCAAGGUGAAGUGACCCCAGGACAGCAGACGCCCAGCACCU
This is a non-coding RNA of Leptonychotes weddellii (Weddell seal), 1011 nucleotides long. Lineage: Eukaryota; Metazoa; Chordata; Mammalia; Carnivora; Phocidae. The record is from the annotation of a RefSeq genome assembly.